RNAcentral lists this ribosomal RNA (486 nucleotides) under uncultured bacterium. Its description in RNAcentral is "partial 16S ribosomal RNA". It matches the Rfam family "Bacterial small subunit ribosomal RNA", at positions 30 to 507 of the family's 1533-position model. The record is from RNAcentral.
AUUGAACGCUGGCGGCAUGCCUUACACAUGCAAGUCGAACGGCAGCACGGGUGCUUGCCCCUGGUGGCGAGUGGCGAACGGGUGAGUAAUACAUCGGAACAUGUCCUGUAGUGGGGGAUAGCCCGGCGAAAGCCGGAUUAAUACCGCAUACGAUCUACGGAUGACAGCGGGGGACCUUCGGGCCUCGCGCUAUAGGGUUGGCCGAUGGCUGAUUAGCUAGUUGGUGGGGUAAAGGCCUACCAAGGCGACGAUCAGUAGCUGGUCUGAGAGGACGACCAGCCACACUGGGACUGAGACACGGCCCAGACUCCUACGGGAGGCAGCAGUGGGGAAUUUUGGACAAUGGGCGAAAGCCUGAUCCAGCAAUGCCGCGUGUGUGAAGAAGGCCUUCGGGUUGUAAAGCACUUUUGUCCGGAAAGAAAUACUUGGCCCUAAUACGGUCGGGGGAUGACGGUACCGGAAGAAUAAGCACCGGCUAACUACGUG